RNAcentral lists this ribosomal RNA (584 nucleotides) under Loma wallae. RNAcentral describes it as "SSU rRNA". It matches the Rfam family "Microsporidia small subunit ribosomal RNA", at positions 724 to 1304 of the family's 1311-position model. The record is from RNAcentral. Lineage: Eukaryota; Fungi; Microsporidia; Glugeidae.
AAAGAGAAAUCGAGUAGGGCCCUGGGGAGAGUACACGCGCAAGCGAGAAAUUUAAAGGAAAUUGACGGAAGAACACCACAAGGAGUGGAGUGUGCGGCUUAAUUUGACUCAACGCGGGACAACUUACCGGGCCCGACGACCGUAAGAGUGUGACACACGAUAGGUCGAAGAGUGGUGCAUGGCCGUUAACGACGAGUGGAGUGAUCUUUGGGUUAAGUCCGUAAAUUAGUGAGACCUCAGCCGUAAGGGACAGGUGCGCAAAGCACAGGAAGGAUGGGUCAAGGACAGGUCAGUGAUGCCCUUAGAUGGUCCGGGCUGCACGCGCACUACAGUGGUCGCCGAAAUUAGCUGAUAAUUUUAAAGGCGAUCGAGAGGGAAUGAGCUUUGUAAGAGGCUCAGGAACGAGGAAUUGCUAGUAAUCGCGGACUCAUUAAGACGCGAUGAAUACGUCCCUGUUCUUUGUACACACCGCCCGUCGUUAUCGAAGAUGAAGACAGGCGCGAACGAUCUACCAGAAAGUGAGCGCAGGUCUUUAGAUCUGAUACAAGUCGUAACAAGGUAGCUGUAGGUGAACCUGUAGCUGG